CCUACGGGUGGCAGCAGUGAGGAAUAUUGGUCAAUGGGCGAGAGCCUGAACCAGCCAAGUCGCGUGAGGGAAGACGGUCCUACGGAUUGUAAACCUCUUUUGUCAGGGAGCAAGGCGCGCCACGAGUGGUUCGGCGCGAGUACCUUACGAAAAAGCAUCGGCUAACUCCGUGCCAGCAGCCGCGGUAAUACGGAGGAUCCGAGCGUUAUCCGGAUUUAUUGGGUUUAAAGGGAGCGUAGGUGGAUUGUUAAGUCAGUUGUGAAAGUUUGCGGCUCAACCGUAAAAUUGCAGUUGAAACUGGCAGUCUUGAGUACAGUAGAGGUGGGCGGAAUUCGUGGUGUAGCGGUGAAAUGCUUAGAUAUCACGAAGAACUCCGAUUGCGAAGGCAGCUCACUGGACUGCAACUGACACUGAUGCUCGAAAGUGUGGGUAUCAAACAGGAUUAGAUACCCUGGUAGUC
Molecule: ribosomal RNA, 460 nt
Filed under: uncultured bacterium
Lineage: Bacteria
Description: partial 16S ribosomal RNA
Rfam family: Bacterial small subunit ribosomal RNA
Source: RNAcentral